RNAcentral lists this transfer RNA (73 nucleotides) under Physeter macrocephalus (sperm whale). Its description in RNAcentral is "Physeter catodon (sperm whale) tRNA". It matches the Rfam family "tRNA". Rfam says of the family: Transfer RNA (tRNA) molecules are approximately 80 nucleotides in length. Their secondary structure includes four short double-helical elements and three loops (D, anti-codon, and T loops). The record is from Rfam by way of RNAcentral. RNAcentral also lists the same sequence under 5 other names. Lineage: Eukaryota; Metazoa; Chordata; Mammalia; Artiodactyla; Physeteridae.
UCCCUGGUGGUCCAGUGGCUAAGACUCCACACUCCCAAUGCAGGGGGCCUGGGUUUGAUCCCUGGUCAGGGAA